This 253-nucleotide ribosomal RNA is filed under the name uncultured bacterium. RNAcentral's name for it is "partial 16S ribosomal RNA". It matches the Rfam family "Bacterial small subunit ribosomal RNA", at positions 524 to 776 of the family's 1533-position model. The record is from RNAcentral.
UACAGAGGUCCCAAGCGUUGUUCGGAAUCACUGGGCGUAAAGGGCGCGUAGGCGGCCAGAUAAGUGGGGUGUUAAAUCUCCCGGCUCAACCGGGAACCUGCACCUCAUACUGCCUGGCUUGAGUACAGCAGAGGAGACUGGAAUUCCCGGUGUAGCGGUGAAAUGCGUAGAUAUCGGGAGGAACAUCUGUGGCGAAGGCGACACCCUGGGCCAGCACUGACACUGAGGCACGAAAGCGUGGGGAGCAAACAGG